ACAAAUUGCAGGUUUAUUGUAUAAAAUUUCUAGGAGCUAAAAGUUUAAACCCCCAGAUUCCUCAUCCAUACAUGUUGUUGCUAUAAGAAAUUACAGAAUUGAAAUUUAAUGCACCUCAAUUAUUUGCAAAUGCCUCAAUUAUUCCUCUUUUGGAAAUAAAAGAAUCUUAGACAAUGUUGUUAUUAUCACAAACCUAGAGAUCAAUCAUAUAUUUGAAAAGAAAUACCUCUUAAAAUAUUCUACCUCCUGUCAUUGAGAACUGUUCAUUGAACAUCCUGAAUUAUUCUAAGCCUCUAUGGAGAUUGUAAAGAUCCUUUCAAGUGCUAGUAUGAAAUCAGUGGGAAACGAAACAAAAGCAACUUUAAAGCAACAAGAAAUUAUGUAUCAUAUAUACAUCGUAGCAAAUACUUUAUAUUUGUGAAUCUUUACAGCUUACAUUUCCAUUCCAUUAUUACAGGUGAUGAAAAACAAAAAAUUGCAAGUAGCAUUCAAAUUAUAAAUACACAGUCUUCCCAUUUCACUAACCAAAUUCUUACUUUUCAGUGUUACUUCCCAAUUUAUGCAGGAAACUGCCUACAAAGCUGAAACUGAUUAGAAAAUUUUUAAGGUUUAAAUCUCUUUCUCAUUUUAGGAGAAACCAAAUACCCAACCAUCGAAAUUAAAAAUAAAUUGAAUUGGCACAGUCAUUACAGUUAUUGUUACUA
This 704-nucleotide long non-coding RNA is filed under the name Bos taurus (domestic cattle). Its description in RNAcentral is "long non-coding RNA NONBTAT006550". Lineage: Eukaryota; Metazoa; Chordata; Mammalia; Artiodactyla; Bovidae. The record is from RNAcentral.